Molecule: ribosomal RNA, 949 nt
Filed under: uncultured Lachnoclostridium sp.
Lineage: Bacteria; Bacillati; Bacillota; Clostridia; Lachnospirales; Lachnospiraceae
Description: bacterial SSU rRNA
Rfam family: Bacterial small subunit ribosomal RNA
Source: RNAcentral
UUNGGAGCUCUCCCAUAUGGUCGACCUGCAGGCGGCCGCGAAUUCACUAGUGAUUAGAGUUUGAUCCUGGCUCAGGAUGAACGCUGGCGGCGUGCCUAACACAUGCAAGUCGAACGAAGCAAUUAAAGGAAGUUUUCGGAUGGAAUUUGAUUGACUGAGUGGCGGACGGGUGAGUAACGCGUGGAUAACCUGCCCCACACUGGGGGAUAACAGUUAGAAAUGACUGCUAAUACCGCAUAAGCGCACAGUGCCGCAUGGUACGGUGUGAAAAACUCCGGUGGUGUGAGAUGGAUCCGCGUCUGAUUAGCCAGUUGGCGGGGUAACGGCCCACCAAAGCGACGAUCAGUAGCCGACCUGAGAGGGUGACCGGCCACAUUGGGACUGAGACACGGCCCAAACUCCUACGGGAGGCAGCAGUGGGGAAUAUUGCACAAUGGGCGAAAGCCUGAUGCAGCGACGCCGCGUGAGUGAAGAAGUAUUUCGGUAUGUAAAGCUCUAUCAGCAGGGAAGAAAAUGACGGUACCUGACUAAGAAGCCCCGGCUAACUACGUGCCAGCAGCCGCGGUAAUACGUAGGGGGCAAGCGUUAUCCGGAUUUACUGGGCGUAAAGGGAGCGUAGACGGCGAAGCAAGUCUGAAGUGAAAACCCAGGGCUCAACCCUGGGACUGCUUUGGAAACUGUUUUGCUAGAGUGUCGGAGAGGUAAGUGGAAUUCCUANUGUAGCGGUGAAAUGCGUAGAUAUUANGAGGAACACCAGUGGCGAANGCGGCUUACUGGACGAUAACUGACGUUGAGGCUCGAAAGCGUGGGGAGCAAACAGGAUUAGAUACCCUGGNUAGUCCACGCCGUAAACGAUGAAANGCUAGGUGUUGGGGGGGCAAAGCCCUUCGGUGCCNUCGNNANCGCAGUAAGCAUNNCACCUGGGAGUACGUUCNCAAGANUGAAACUC